Molecule: non-coding RNA, 85 nt
Organism: Felis catus (domestic cat)
Lineage: Eukaryota; Metazoa; Chordata; Mammalia; Carnivora; Felidae
Source: Rfam
GCCUGGGUGGCUCAGUCGGUUAAGCGUCCGACUUCGGCUCAGGUCAUGAUCUCACGGUUCGUGGGUUCGAGCCCCGCGUCGGGCU